Long non-coding RNA from Brassica rapa (field mustard), 2243 nucleotides. RefSeq lists it as uncharacterized. Lineage: Eukaryota; Viridiplantae; Streptophyta; Magnoliopsida; Brassicales; Brassicaceae. The record is from RefSeq and is a predicted model, not a curated record.
GCACAUUUAUUCAACAAAGCUAAUUCCCUCACGGCCUCACGAAUGGUGAUGAUUAUGUGAUAGUUAUACAUAAAGUAUCAAGUAUGUACACUUUAUGUGUGAAAAACGCAUCAAGUAUGUAUGAUGUACAUUCCAUCUCUCACAAAUGGUGGAUCCUGUACAGAUCAAUGCUCCCUAGUUGUAGCCUGGAGGUUGAGUUCACGUCUCGUACACACAAGAACCGGAACCUGCAAACAUAAACAUUCAUCCAGUUCAGAACACAACAUCAGAGAAAAGAUACUUAAUAUUACCUGAAGAGAUUUGCUUGGAAUCCUGGGGAUGUUAUUUUAAUUUGUAGGAUUUGCGUUGGAACCGCUCUUAGUUACCUUAAGUGGAUCAUUGUGCCAAGGGAAUCGAGUUAUUGCUGGAAAGAAGGUACACCUGUAGGAAUAAUUCUUGCUCUCAAUCCAAUACAUUUGAUAAAAUGUGACUGAUUAAGCUUUUAGCCUUUUACAGUACUACAAUUUUCUCCUGGAAAUAUAAAGGCCGUGACUUCAGAAUACAUAUGGUACUGAUACAUUUCAUGCACAAAAGAAACAAUAAUAGUACGUACCGGUAUAGUUCAACUCGAUUCGCUCCAUAAGCAAGCUGUGAGGGAAGUGGGUAUCCCAUCCCCUGGCCUAUGGUUUUGUUACCACAGUAGUCACUAGAAGGUUCAUUGACCCAUCUUGCAUUAUCAGGCAGGCAACAACAGAGAAAGAGGCUCUUAGAAACUACUGUGCCGAGAUAUGUAUUCUAACAACUUUGCACUUUUGGAAUAUGUAGGUGGACAGUAUAAGAAGUCCUAAAAGACAAGGAAAAGGGAGCUUAGAAAAACCUGAAGGAUCCUUUGAUCAUUUUUGAGUUUUGGGUCGUUAAAAACUAUAGUAGGAAUUAAAAUUUAAUUUAGUGCUGAGUUAUUACGUGGAUUGUUAAAAAAUGUAUGAAAUAGAAUAAACAAUACUACUUAUAUAACCAUGGUAGUAGUCUUGUAGAUAUGUUUCUGCCACUACUAAUAAUAAAAUACAAGUAUGAUGCAUUAUUUCAUCUAUGCAUUAUCAGUAGGUCUAAAAGACUAUACCUAGGCCUCUUCCCAAAUCUGGGAAAGUAAAAGAGGUGGUGGUGAGUGAGCGGUGACGAAUCUUUCUAAUCAAAGUUUUGUUUCUGUAAAAAAAAAAAAAAAAAAAGGUUUUGUUUCUGUAAAAUAUAAAAUUAAGUAAAAUAAAUAAAAAUAAAAGUGGGUCCAGACGAUCUUAUUGUACACUGAGCCGGACAGAACUUACUCGGUUCCACGUGCGAUUGGCUUUCUAACCGGGACCACUGCUGGAGUAAAGCCGGUGAAGACGUGGUAAGCAUCGGGCGCACUUCUUUGAUAGUAUGUUUAAUCGAAACCGUUCACUUCAGUGAAGUGUGAGAACAUCGUACCAACCUGUCUGCUGUUUCGGAAUUCCUAUUUGUGUCUAUCGAAGAGGUUUGAUUUUCUCUGAAUAUGUAAAUUCUAAGGAUAAUUUUUAUUACGAUAAUUAUUUUUAAAAUUAUUGAUAUCUAUCUCUAUUUCUAUAUGGUUGGUGAAACUUCAUAUUCCUCUAUGCAUAAAAAAACUGAUUCUUUAAAUAAGUCACUUGAAAGAAAUCCAAUCCCAAACUCUUUGAUGUGCAUGUUUUCUUGUAUUUUUGUCUGUUUAUUUGUUUACUUUUAAAUAUAGAUCCUUUUUAGGUUUAGGUUAACAUUCUCAAACAAAUUUUAUUACGGUUUUUCUUUUGGGCUUAUUUCAAAAAAAAUUAGAUUUUUAAUUAGAAAGUAGAGAUAGAUAGGAAGAGACAAUUUCAUUUGGCGUUAUAGAUGAAAUGAAAGUUAGGCUUGCUGACUUUGGGUUUCGCGUAUAAGAUGAAAUGAAGACUAUGGUUCGUAAAUGUGGGUUUAGAAGAAAUCUUUCUAAUGAAAUUUAUUUUAAUAGUCAUUUAGGCCAAUAUUCUAACAAAUUACCUUGUCACUUAAGUCAUGGUUUUUAUUCUCCUAAGGUUCUAUCUUGAGUGAAAUCAUUUGAGAAAAAAUUUAUACAUGAAUAAAUAAUAAAGGCAAUUGUCAAUAAUAGCGCAUUUUAAGUUUUUGUCUCAAAAAUGACAUUAGAAGGAGAAAAUCACAAAAAUGACAUUUAUUAAAGGUUAAAAUAUUCAUAAUACCCUUGGUUUAAAAUUAAAUAAACAAAUAAAAAUAAAUAAAAA